CCUACGGGAGGCAGCAGUAAGGGAUAUUGCACAAUGGACGGAAGUCUGAUGCAGCGACGCCGCGUGGGUGAAGAAGGUUUUCGGAUCGUAAAGCCCUUUUCUAUGUGACGAGGAAGGACGGUAGCAUAGGAAUAAGUGUCGGCUAACUACGUGCCAGCAGCCGCGGUAAAACGUAGGACACGAACGUUAUCCGGAGUUACUGGGCGUAAAGAGCGCGUAGGCGGUUGGUUAAGUUGCCUAUGAAAGGUACCGGCUAAACUGGUAUAAGUUGGGCGAAACUGGCUAACUAGAGAGAAAUAGAGGGAAGUAGAAUUCCGGGUGUAGUGGUGAAAUGCGUAGAUAUCCGGAGGAAUACCGGUGGCGAAGGCGGCUUCCUGGAUUUCCACUGACGCUGAAGCGCGAAGGCGUGGGUAGCGAACGGGAUUAGAAACCCCGGUAGUCCACGCCGUAAACGAUGUACAUUAGGCGUUCGGCAACGAUGGUUGUUGAGUGUCGCAGCAAACGCGAUAAAUGUACCGCCUGGGGAGUACGGUCGCAAGGCUAAAACUCAAAGGAAUUGACGG
This 563-nucleotide ribosomal RNA is filed under the name uncultured bacterium. Its description in RNAcentral is "bacterial SSU rRNA". It matches the Rfam family "Bacterial small subunit ribosomal RNA", at positions 338 to 916 of the family's 1533-position model. The record is from RNAcentral.